Molecule: ribosomal RNA, 253 nt
Filed under: uncultured bacterium
Lineage: Bacteria
Description: partial 16S ribosomal RNA
Rfam family: Bacterial small subunit ribosomal RNA
Source: RNAcentral
UACGUAGGGGGCUAGCGUUGUCCGGAAUCAUUGGGCGUAAAGCGCGUGUAGGCGGCCCGGUAAGUCCGCUGUGAAAGUCGGGGGCUCAACCCUCGGAUGCCGGUGGAUACUGUCGGGCUAGAGUACGGAAGAGGCGAGUGGAAUUCCUGGUGUAGCGGUGAAAUGCGCAGAUAUCAGGAGGAACACCCAUUGCGAAGGCAGCUCGCUGGGACGUUACUGACGCUGAGACGCGAAAGCGUGGGGAGCAAACAGG